GACGAACGCUGGCGGCGUGCUUAACACAUGCAAGUCGAACGGAAAGGCCCUGCUUUUGUGGGGUGCUCGAGUGGCGAACGGGUGAGUAACACGUGAGUAACCUGCCCUUGACUUUGGGAUCACUUCAGGCAACUGGGGCUAAUACCGGAUAGGAGCUCCUGCUGCUUGGUGGGGGUUGGAAAGUUUCGGCGGUUGGGGAUGGACUCGCGGCUUAUCAGCUUGUUGGUGGGGUAGUGGCUUACCAAGGCUUUGACGGGUAGCCGGCCUGAGAGGGUGACCGGCCACCGGGCGACUGAGAUACGGCCGAGAGUCGUACGGGAUGCAGCAGUGGGGAAUAUUGCACAAUCGGCCGAAGCCGGGUGCAGCAUGGCCGCGUUCUGGAUGACGGCCUUCGGGUAGUAAACCGCUUUGUCCUGUGACGAUGCGUGAGUGACGGUAAUGGGUAAAGAAGCACCGGCUAACUACGUG
This 468-nucleotide ribosomal RNA is filed under the name uncultured bacterium. RNAcentral's name for it is "partial 16S ribosomal RNA". It matches the Rfam family "Bacterial small subunit ribosomal RNA", at positions 28 to 507 of the family's 1533-position model. The record is from RNAcentral.